CGGGACGGGUGAGUAAUGUCUGGGAAACUGCCUGAUGGAGGGGGAUAACUACUGGAAACGGUAGCUAAUACCGCAUAACGUCGCAAGACCAAAGAGGGGACCUUCGGGCCUCUUGCCAUCGGAUGUGCCCAGAUGGGAUUAGCUAGUAGGUGGGGUAACGGCUCACCUAGGCGACGAUCCCUAGCUGGUCUGAGAGGAUGACCAUCCACACUGGAACUGAGACACGGUCCAG
This 232-nucleotide ribosomal RNA is filed under the name uncultured bacterium. RNAcentral's name for it is "partial 16S ribosomal RNA". It matches the Rfam family "Bacterial small subunit ribosomal RNA", at positions 100 to 334 of the family's 1533-position model. The record is from RNAcentral.